CAACUUUAGACGGUACAUUAUAUGUCUACCGUGGUUGUAACGAGUACAGAGAAUCAGGGUUUGGUUCUGGAGAGGCCGCCUGAGAAACGGCGACCACUUCCAAGGAAGGCAGCAGGCGCGCAAAUUACCCACUCUCAAAAUGAGGAGGUAGUGAAGAGAAAUAACGAUGUUAGUCUUUUCAAGGCUGACAAUCGGAAUGGGAACACUGUAAAAAGGUUAUCGAUUAACAAUUGGAGGGCAAGUCUGGUGCCAGCAGCCGCGGUAAUUCCAGCUCCAAUAAGGAAAACUAAAGUUGCUGUGUUUAAAAAGCUCGUAGUUGAAUUUCGGGUAUUUGUUGCUAGUUGGUCUAACUGGCCAUAUUGGUUAACAGAUCCUCAUUUGCUGGACGGCUGGCGAUGAUCUUUAUCGAUUGUCGUCAGUUGCCAGAACGUUUACUUUGAGAAAAAUUAGAGUGCUAAAAAGCAGGCUCACGCCUAUAUAUAUUGCAUGGA
Molecule: ribosomal RNA, 491 nt
Filed under: uncultured eukaryote
Lineage: Eukaryota
Description: SSU rRNA
Rfam family: Eukaryotic small subunit ribosomal RNA
Source: RNAcentral